This 468-nucleotide ribosomal RNA is filed under the name uncultured bacterium. RNAcentral's name for it is "partial 16S ribosomal RNA". It matches the Rfam family "Bacterial small subunit ribosomal RNA", at positions 28 to 507 of the family's 1533-position model. The record is from RNAcentral.
GACGAACGCUGGCGGCGUGCUUAACACAUGCAAGUCGAACGGAAAGGCCCUGCUUUUGUGGGGUGCUCGAGUGGCGAACGGGUGAGUAACACGUGAGUAACCUGCCCUGGACUUUGGGAUAACUUCAGGAAACUGGGGCUAAUACCGUAUAGGAGCUCCUGCUGCAUGGUGGGGGUUGGAAAGUUUCGGCGGUUGGGGAUGGACUCGCGGCUUAUCAGCUUGUUGGUGGGGUAGUGGCUUACCAAGGCUUUGACGGGUAGCCGGCCUGAGAGGGUGACCGGCCACAUUGGGACUGAGAUACGGCCCAGAAUCCUACGGGAGGCAGCAGUGGGGAAUAUUGCACAAUGGGCGGAAGCCUGAUGCAGCAACGCCGCGUGCGGGAUGACGGCCUUCGGGUUGUAAACCGCUUUCGCCUGUGACGAAGCGUGAGUGACGGUAAUGGGUAAAGAAGCACCGGCUAACUACGUG